This 228-nucleotide long non-coding RNA is filed under the name Vigna radiata. RNAcentral describes it as "long non-coding RNA (VRAD_LNC010511)". Lineage: Eukaryota; Viridiplantae; Streptophyta; Magnoliopsida; Fabales; Fabaceae. The record is from RNAcentral.
GGGUAUAUGAUUGGAAUGUGUGUUUCUUGGUAUGUUGACUUUGUAAACCAAUGUGGGAUGUAGCCUUGUCCAUUGAUGUUCAAAAAGGUUAUGGCAGCUAGUGCAUGACAGUAUGGGAUGCCUGUUAAAGUCAACUUUCUGCAACUGCAUUCCAAUUUAUUUAUUUCAACCACAUACUUCUCACCAAUCAUUGAAGUGUUUCUCACCUCAAAGAUUCUCAGUCCUGAC